UUCUUCCCCUCCUCCCCUCCCCUGUCUUGCCCGCAGCUUCACCGGCAGCGAGGGAAAGAGGGAGGAUGAGCGCGUCCAGGUUCAUAAAGUGCGUCACCGUGGGGGACGGCGCCGUCGGCAAGACUUGCAUGCUCAUCUCCUACACCUCCAACACCUUCCCCACCGACUAUGUGCCCACGGUGUUUGACAACUUCAGUGCUAAUGUUGUGGUUGAUGGCAACACUGUCAACCUCGGGCUAUGGGAUACUGCAGGUCAGGAGGACUACAACAGACUGAGACCGCUGAGUUAUCGUGGAGCUGAUGUCUUCCUUCUGGCCUUCUCGCUUAUCAGCAAGGCCAGCUAUGAGAAUGUUUCAAAGAAGUGGAUACCUGAGCUGAAGCAUUAUGCACCAGGUGUGCCUAUUAUCCUCGUGGGAACAAAGCUUGAUCUUCGAGAUGACAAGCAGUUCUUUGUGGACCAUCCUGGUGCUGUUCCUAUCACUACUGCUCAGGGGGAGGAACUAAAAAAGUUAAUAGGCGCACCCUACUACAUCGAAUGCAGCUCGAAGACCCAACUAAAUGUCAAGGGUGUAUUUGAUGCGGCAAUAAAGGUGGUACUUGCGCCACCAAAGGCGAAGAAGAAGAAAAAGGCGCAGAGGGGGGCUUGCUCCAUCUUGUGAUCUAAUCAUCGGUAGACAAAGAACAAGGGCGAAGUUGCCGCCAUGCUAUAUUAUUGUUACGUCUUGCUUCAGCGGAGCUGCACUCUCAUGGUCGUCGUCCCUCCCCCCUACCCCACCCUAGGUUACCCACCGGCAGCUGCAGCAAGGUCUCUUUGUCGAGGCAUCGGGCGAUCCAUUUGUUUGAUUUCUCUUCUUCCUGCCUUGUGAUUAUCUCGUGUGACUGACAAGUCGUGGCAAUUUAGGUAACUUGCUUAGUAGACGGUAUUUCCCGUGUUUGAGACCCCGUAAAAAAAAAGUAUCUCGUUGUUAUCUCGGUUCCAUAAGUAGAGACAUGAUGUAAUCGCACUCAGUUUAUUUUAUUUUUGCUUGUUAUUUUCACUUCAAUGGAAAAUUAUGUUUCCUUUCUUGUUAUGGUAUC
Molecule: ribosomal RNA, 1077 nt
Filed under: Triticum aestivum (bread wheat)
Lineage: Eukaryota; Viridiplantae; Streptophyta; Magnoliopsida; Poales; Poaceae
Description: partial small subunit ribosomal RNA
Source: RNAcentral